UACGUAGGGGGCAAGCGUUGUCCGGAAUCAUUGGGCGUAAAGCGCGUGUAGGCGGCCCGGUAAGUCCGCUGUGAAAGUCGGGGGCUCAACCCUCGAAUGCCGGUGGAUACUGUCGGGCUAGAGUGCGGAAGAGGCGAGUGGAAUUCCUGGUGUAGCGGUGAAAUGCGCAGAUAUCAGGAGGAACACCAAUUGCGAAGGCAGCUCGCUGGGACGUGACUGACGCUGAUGCGCGAAAGCCAGGGGAGCGAACGGG
RNAcentral lists this ribosomal RNA (253 nucleotides) under uncultured bacterium. Its description in RNAcentral is "partial 16S ribosomal RNA". It matches the Rfam family "Bacterial small subunit ribosomal RNA", at positions 524 to 776 of the family's 1533-position model. The record is from RNAcentral.